RNA transcript from Loxodonta africana (African savanna elephant), 8114 nucleotides. It is a transcript of the gene named Ral GEF with PH domain and SH3 binding motif 2, with no coding region annotated. The transcript has 21 exons. NCBI's taxonomy places the organism in Eukaryota, Metazoa, Chordata, Mammalia, Proboscidea, Elephantidae. The record is from RefSeq and is a predicted model, not a curated record.
UUGAAUUUCCAGGACUGAGAUUUUGGGCCAGAGUGUAUGAACAUCUCAAUGCUGUGUUGUCCAAAUGUUUUCCCGAGAAAUUGCACUAGUUAAUUGUAUUCCACUACUAGUUUCCUUGUGGUUGCUUGACCCUUCUAAAGUAUGCUUUGUAAAACUAUUAAAUGUCUUUAGCACAACGUUCCUCAUGAUGAUAGAAUAAAUUAUUUUAGGAAAGAACAUAUAACUGGUAUUGUGAAAUGAGAUUAAUUGGCGAGGAAUUUGUGGCUUUAAUUUUAAUCCCAUGUUCAUUUAUAAAAAGGCAUUGGUUUUGUUGUGGGAAGACCAUUGAGAAGGUGGAAAGUUAGGAGACUGAAUAGAUUGUGCCUGCAUUUCUGUAAUAGUUCUGUGACCUUAAGCAGGGAACUCAAUCUACACAUUUCAGAUUUCCUCACCCUAAUGGUUGAAGGAGCCCUGGUGGCACAGCGGUUAAAGCGCUUAGCUGCUAACUGAAAGGUCAGCAGCUCAAACUCACCAGCUGCUCCGCUAGGGAAAGAUGUGGAAGUCUGCUUCCGUAAAGAUUUACAGCCUUGGAGACCCUAUGGAGCAGCUCCGUUCUAUGCUAUGAGUCAGAAUCUACUCGAUGGAAACAGGUUUAAUGAGCAGUUGCUGGAUUACUUCCCUUUUUUUUGGUUGUUCUAAGUCAAGGGCAGGAGCGCCCCUGUUCAUACAUAGCGAGCCUCAUACUUGGUACUCAGUAAAUCCUUGUUGAAUUGGUAAUAGACAUUCUCGUGCCCAGUUUUAAAUGUGUAUCCUUCCCGUCUUUUCUUCCUUUCAAUCUUCUGAGUGACAGACCAUGCUAAGCUAGCUUACAGCUUGGUUCUUUUUUACUUAGCUGCUCCUUGAUGGAAACCCUGGUAGCGUAGUGGUUAAGAGCUACAGCUGCUAACCAAAAAGGUUGGCAGUUCGAAUCCACCAGGCACUCCUUGGAAACUAUGGGGCAGUUCUACUCUGUCUUACAGGGUCGCUGUGAGUCAGUAAUCGACUCGACGGCAGUGGGUUUUCGUUUUGGCCUCCUUGAUAGAGGUGUAACUGUCUGCCUCUUUAGUACUAAUGUUUACGUUAAAUAUGCCGUUUUGGGAUAUAAACCCCAAAGACAGUCAAAGUGACUUUUAGAAGUUGAGGAGAAUAAGUGGAAAAUAAGACAUGUGUGAUGUUCAUAGUCGUUACAAGUGAUUAUGUAAUUUAUAGCUCUAGGAAAAGUAAAUAAAAUAUUAAAGCAUAUAUUUGUAUUGUUUCAUUUGACUUUUCUAUGUGCAAAGCACCGGCUUAGGUCCUGAGGCACAUACUAAAAGACUGAACACAUGUCUGUAUUUUAGGACUAGCAGUGUUUCUGUAGUAUCAUACGAGGCUUUGCUGUACUUCAGCGUCGUUAAAUACUAUUGACAUUUCUAAUCAUCACGAGAUUUUCAUUAAGGAAUAAUGUAUUUGUGGCCGUGGACGUGAGGUAAUUGGUCCCUUGUUCCUGUUAACGUAUUGAUGUUGUGGGAAGCAUGGACCUAAUGAAUGGACAGGCAAGCAGUGUGAAUAUUGUGGCUACUGCUUCUGAGAAGAGUAGCAGCUCUGAAUCUUUAAGCGACAAAGGUUCUGAACUGAAGAAAAGCUUCGAUGCCGUGGUAUUUGAUGUUCUUAAGGUUACACCAGAAGAGUAUGCGGGUCAGAUAACACUAAUGGACGUUCCAGUAUUUAAAGCCAUCCAACCAGAUGAACUUUCAAGUUGCGGAUGGAAUAAAAAAGAAAAAUAUAGUUCUGCACCAAAUGCAGUUGCCUUCACAAGGAGAUUUAAUCAUGUAAGUUUUUGGGUUGUUAGAGAGAUUCUUCAUGCUCAAACGUUAAAAAUUAGAGCAGAAGUUUUGAGCCACUAUAUUAAAACUGCUAAGAAACUGUAUGAGCUGAAUAACCUCCAUGCACUUAUGGCAGUGGUUUCUGGCUUACAAAGUGCCCCAAUUUUCAGGUUGACUAAAACAUGGGCGUUAUUAAGUCGAAAAGACAAAACUACCUUUGAAAAAUUAGAAUAUGUAAUGAGUAAAGAAGAUAACUACAAAAGACUCAGAGAUUAUAUAAGUAGCUUAAAGAUGACACCUUGCAUUCCCUAUUUAGGUAUCUAUUUGUCAGAUUUAACAUACAUUGAUUCAGCGUACCCAUCAACUGGCAGCAUUUUAGAAAAUGAGCAAAGAUCAAAUUUAAUGAAUAACAUCCUUAGAAUAAUUUCUGAUUUACAGCAGUCCUGUGAAUAUGAUAUUCCCAUGUUGCCUCAUGUCCAAAAAUAUCUGAACUCUGUUCAGUAUAUAGAAGAACUACAAAAGUUUGUGGAAGAUGAUAAUUACAAGCUUUCAUUAAAGAUAGAGCCAGGGACAAGCACACCACGUUCUGCUGCUUCCAGGGAAGAUUUAGUAGGUCCUGAAGUAGGAGCAUCUCCACAAAGUGGACGAAAAAGUUUGGCAGCUGAAGGAGCCUUGCUACCACAGACUCCCCCAUCCCCUCGGAAUCUGAUUCCACAUGGACAUAGGAAGUGCCAUAGCUUGGGUUAUAAUUUCAUUCAUAAAAUGAACACAGCAGAGUUUAAGAGUGCAACGUUCCCAAAUGCGGGGCCAAGACAUCUGUUAGAUGACAGCGUCAUGGAGCCCCACGCACCAUCUCGAGGCCAAGCUGAAAGUUCUACUCUUUCUAGUGGAAUAUCAAUAGGUAGCAGUGAUGGUUCUGAACUAAGUGAAGAGACCUCAUGGCCUGCUUUUGAAAGGAACAGAUUAUACCAUUCUCUCGGCCCAGUGACAAGAAUGGCACGAAAUGGCUAUCGAAGCCACAUGAAGGCCAGCAGUUCUGCAGAAUCGGAAGAUUUGGCAGUACAUUUAUAUCCAGGAGCCGUUACGAUUCAGGGUGUUCUCAGGAGAAAAACUUUGUUAAAAGAAGGCAAAAAGCCUACAGUGGCAUCUUGGACAAAAUAUUGGGCAGCUUUGUGUGGGACUCAACUUUUUUACUAUGCUGCCAAAUCUCUAAAGGCUACAGAAAGAAAACACUUCAAAUCAACGUCAAAUAAGAACGUAUCUGUGGUAGGAUGGAUGGUGAUGAUGGCCGAUGACCCCGAACAUCCAGAUCUCUUCUUGCUGACUGACUCUGAAAAAGGAAAUUCAUAUAAGUUUCAAGCUGGCAGUCGGAUGAAUGCAAUGCUAUGGUUUAAGCAUUUGAGUGCAGCCUGCCAAAGUAACAAACAACAGAAUGCAUUGAGAAGACUCAGAUGCAGCACCUUCAACCACGUUCAGGCAACUUAGGAGGAAAUGAAACUUCUACUUUAUUUAAAGAUGAGUUUCUUAUGACCAGACUUGAGAAUUUAUACUUUAAUGUUCCUACAAACUUGAUGACUUUUGAAUAAAUGCCUAAGAAAGAAGAAAGGUGAACUAUUGCUCCAAAGUGAGAGUGGAGAACCUGACAAAAGAGCGCCAGCUAUAAACUGAUCCUGUGCAGGAAGGAGCCCAGCGGUUCCGGCUCAGCCUUUGGAGUUCUGAACCAAAAAGCACUAAUUUCAGGGAAUGAAGUGAGAACAAAUUAGAGUUGCAAAACGAACUGCCACGGACCAUGCUUCUUAUCUCUGAACUGACCUGUGGAAACCACUGCCUUAAAAGAAUGAAAGGAGAACCAACGUGAAACACCAAACAGUGUGUGUGAACCCUCUGGCGGUGCUGUGCUUGGAAUAGAUCGUAGCUAGUUUGCAUUUCUUUUAACUUUGUACUAAUUUUGGAGGGGGGAACCGCCUUUUUUAGAUACACUUUAAAAAGAAAAAACCUAUUUCUUAGGGGCUACGUCAGGAGCUGAUUUUGAAAUGAGGUGUAAAGAUAUUCAGACUUUGUAGGGAUCAUACCAGCAACCCCCCUGAAAGGUUUGUUUCACUUCCAUUGGUCUGGAGCCUCACUCAUUGUCUCCCAGCUUGAGUGUGGGAAUUAGAAUGUUAAUAUGAGUUGUUGGGGUUUGUUUGAGGUUUUGGUUUUUUUCUUCUUUUGUUGUUGUUUUGGGGGGGUUUUGUUUUGUUUUGGGCAGGGGGACUUUUUUUUUUUUUAGACACCGAAGUUCUGAAAUUUUGUACUGUACCCAGAACAUUGUUUCUUGAAGGAGGCACAAAGGCUUAGUAUUCAUAUGCCGGGCAUCUAAAAAGUAGACUCCAGAAAACAUGGUUGUUUCUAACUGGGUUUAAAGGUUAGCCUUCUGUAUGAAUUCGUUGUCAGACCACAGAUCUGCUUACUAAAGAGAACUGUAAUCCUAACCUAAACUUUUCUGGGAGGAUCUUAAAAAAAAAAUAUCUUUUUCAAGUUAGUUGGAUUAGCCCAUCUCUUGGGUCACGGGUGAUUUUUAUCAUCAAGGUGAUACAUUGACAUUUUGUCAGGAUAUUUUAUAGUGUUUAAUGUGCACAAUGCCAGAGUUUUUUUCUUGUUGUUGUUUUGUUUUAUAAUUAUUACUCAAUUGCAUUAUUUUUGUUCAGUAUGAGAUGCAGGAUCACAUUUUUUUGAAAGAGAUUCCACAUGUGUAAGUAUGCAUGUGUUUUGUUAUAAGACAUACAAGAUAAUUCUUGAAAGGAAAAAGGUGAAAGCUUGAGAUUCUGGGAAUUUUAAGUAUCAGAACUUCCAAUCUUACAUAACUUACCCUUUAUAACAAAACAUUUUUCUGAAAACUUCUACAGGUCCCUGUCAUGAGACCAUGUCUGGUCAGUGGUUGAGCAUGCAGUUUGUGAUAGCUCAUCUGUGCAACAGUGUGUUUAGUUUCCAAAACAAACAUUGAAUUACCCCAAAACGGCGUGAAGGCGUGGCCUUAGAAUUUUAACAAAAAAAUAGCACUUGAACAAAGGCUAUCUGUUGGAUGUUAUAACCUUGCAAGGCAUCAUAAAUUUUAAGAGUAGCCCAGAGUAAGAAAUGUUUUUUCCCUGAUAUCUUCUAAUAGAUCCCUAAUACUUUGGGCCUCACAUAAAAAGAAUUUCUCACAUUUGCAUUCUUAGAGAAUUUUAUACUUUUUUUACCAUAAGUAUUUUGCCCGUGAGUCUGUGAAACUUAAAUAGAAAAUAUUACCUACAUAAUAAUUAGCUUAAAAUCCAUUCAAGGAAAAGUAGAAGAGCUUUAUCUGGGCGUUAAAUUUUUUAAUUUAGUUUUCUCUUUGGAGAAGAUAUAAGAGUUCAAAUAUGUAUCUCAUAUCACACAGUUAGAAAUAGCGUUCUUUCUGGUUUUGUGGAAAGUGCCAGAGAACAUGGGCUGGGAGAGGGCAAAAAGUUACCCGUGUUGAAGGAUGUUUCAAUUAAAGAACUCCCAAGCUUAACCCACGUUGGGUACAUAGAGGGACACCGUCUGCGUAGCCAGCAGUAUUACUGUGUAGACCUUGCACAUCUUUGUUUUGCAUUUUUUUAAUUCCUUAAUUUGAUUAUUUCUCUUUAGAAAUAAGCAUUUUAACAGUGUAUGUGCUUUUUAAAAAAAUAUUGUAGAUGAGAACCCUGUGGAACUUUUUUUCUGUUAUUUUGUCAUAAAUAAGCUAAAGUAGAUAUGUUAUAGGUUAACCAUGUCUGUGGAGAUAUGCAACUGGAAGUUGGAGCCUGACAUCACACAGUUUUGCCAAAGAGAGAGCGAAGCUGGAAGAUGUGUUUGAUUUUUUUCCAGCUCUAAACAUUAAUGGAUGCUUGCUUAGUAGAUUGGGCUAUUAGUCCUCUGUAGAUAGAAUUGUGGCCUCUGAGUGACUGAUAACUCUUAAUGGUGCAGUAGAUGUUGUCAUUUUUCUGUCUUCAAAUUUUUCCAUUCAAGAGAUCAGUCAUUGCUUUUUAAGAUUAUAUUAGCAUUAAAAACAAAUUGAAACUUGUGAGAGAAGUGAAAAUUACAAUAGUGUAGAUGAAUUUUUUAUCUAUAUAAUUCAUCAAAGGAUAUCUGGUGAUAAUUCAAACAAAGAAGUCACCAAAAUACAUGAAAUAUUUAGGUAAUUUAUUAGUGGCAAGGUGAAUUUUUUUUCAUCUUAUUAAGCCUGUCCUCAAUUGUAAAUUAGUGACUCAAAACUCAAAACUCGCACCAGUGAUGAAAUCAUUUGUUUCUCUCCUAGCGAAGAAGAGCUCAUUAGAAAUUCAAUUGCAAUUUAAGAUUAAGCUUGUUUAUGAUGUGGGUAGUGACUGGCACAUAAUAAAGCCUGGAAUAGUAGUAGAUAAUAUUAGCCAAACUACAUCUUAUUUAACAAUUUAUUUGAACCUGGAGGCUUAUUUUUCAUAUAGAAAUAACAUCAGUUUUUUAACUCUAGCUGUAAAAAUGGCUACGUAAUGCUCUGAUCACCACUUCUACUUUCACUCCCCCUGAGUGUUUAGGCCGUGCUUAUUUUUCAGAGUAUAUUUUUACUGUAACUUCCAAACUAUAAGAAUUGAAAGAGAACUGAUCAAACAUGCCUUCUUAUUUUGUCUUCUUCACUAUGUAGAUAUUAUUUGUGUAAACAUUUCAAAAAAGGGAUCCAGACAAUUUGAGAAGUUUGUUUUCUCUCUAGGCAUGUGCUUCAAGGGGCAGAAAAUGCCACGUGGCUGUUGCACUGUAGUGUUGGUACGGAGGCCUUCUGUAUAUCAAGAGUCACUUAUAGCUGCAAAGUUUUUAUAAGUGGGUUUAUUCCUCUUCUAGAACAUUUUUAAAGGAGCCCUAGAAGCACUACUGUUAUAGAAGGGAAAACCAUGGAAAAAAUGUUUAUAGUCUGCAGCGAAUGCGCUACAUAUACCGGUUGAAACUGGGGCCCUCCAAGAGCACCCUGUUGGCCUCUCGGGAUAAUUAGAAUCCACCUGACCAAAUGACUUGAGCAUAAGCCUUUUUCUCUUUUUUCUAAGGUUAAAUCAAUAAGCUAUAUACCUUUACUACUGAAAUCAAAACUAGAGGGGAGAUGUCAUAUUAAUUGGAAAUCAAUAGCCAUAGUAGAUUUAUUUCAUUAAUUUUUUUUUAAAGAAUAUGUCCACUCUUGAUUUCCACCGUUUUGAGGCACGUGCAUUUACAACCCGUUCUUAAACCACCACAUUGUUUUAUCCUGUAAGCAAGAAGUACUAAUGUUGGUUAACAAGAUAUUCUUUAAUAAAAGAAAUCCUUUGCUCCAAAGGCUUUUGAAAUAAUUAGAUCCCUUUUUGAAAAUGCAGGUGAAUUUAACCGUGCCCUGGUAGGACAGUAGUAUUGCUGUUGCAUGAAUGGACAAUGCAAAGCAAGCGGUGAGGCUUGUCUGACUUCUUCAGUGACAUUGUGAGGUUUGCUUUUAUUUUCUCUCUCAUUCCUUUUGUAUUAUUUCUCUCAAACAGUUUUACAGCCAGAGCGGCAUUCUGUUUUUUUCCUAAGCUUUGAGAUAAAAAUUGUUCAUUAAACCACAUUGAUGAUGAAUUAUUUUCCAUGUGAAGUCAGCCUUUUCAAAAUAGUUUAAGUACUUUUUGGUUUUGCAUCCUGAAAAAUGGCUUGUGUCUUAAGUGAUUGUUUUCUAUUUAGAGGGUUCUAAUGAAAGAUACUUAUGUGUACAAACUCUAAGCUUGUUGAAAGCAAUUUCAUUACAUAGGUAUCUCAAGCAGUAGUGUGGGAGAUUUUGGUCAGUGCCUUAUCCAUUUGAAGACCAACCCUGGGCAUCGAGUGUGACAGUAAUCAUUUGCCCUCUUACUCCUCUUACUUCAGGAAUGUGUGCUAUCCCUCUCUCCACCAGCUUAGUCUUUCUCACAGUGAGUCUAAGAACGCCGUACAGAUAAUGCUAGGUAAUUGUUACAGUCCUCCUUGGUUUUGAAUCUUUUUUAGACAAGCUCCCUCCCUUCUCCUCUCCCUCCAGGAUAUGAGAUUAAAAAUAAACCCACCCAAGUCAGCCUUUAGGUGAGCACUGUUGAAAGCAACUUGAAGAGCAUCCAACUGAGAUAAUUUGUAUUUUGUUGUUGUUGUUUUGAGCACAGGUUAAAUCAUAAAGCCUUUCCGAAAAUCCAUAAAAGAUAUAACUAGAAAGAUUGGUUUGGGUUUUAAUAAAACUACUGACAUCUUGUAAUGAGAGUCCCAUUGACCAGAGUUGAGAUUUAUUUCAGUUCAUUCAUUCUUAUAUUAAAUAAAACUCAGAACAAACCAGUAGUCACUUAA